This 243-nucleotide ribosomal RNA is filed under the name Carnobacterium maltaromaticum. RNAcentral describes it as "partial 23S ribosomal RNA". It matches the Rfam family "Bacterial large subunit ribosomal RNA", at positions 1 to 242 of the family's 2925-position model. The record is from RNAcentral. Lineage: Bacteria; Bacillati; Bacillota; Bacilli; Lactobacillales; Carnobacteriaceae.
GGUUAAGUUAAUAAGGGCGCACGGUGGAUGCCUUGGCACUAAGAGCCGAUGAAGGACGGGACUAACUCCGAUAUGCUUUGGGGAGCUGUAAGUAAGCUUUGAUCCAAAGAUUUCCGAAUGGGGGAACCCAGCAUUUUUUAUAGAAUGUUACUGCUAGCUGAAUACAUAGGCUAGUAGAGGUAGACGCAGAGAACUGAAACAUCUAAGUACCUGCAGGAAGAGAAAGAAAAUUCGAUUCCCUGA